RNAcentral lists this ribosomal RNA (76 nucleotides) under Sanguibacter sp. Leaf3. The record is from RNAcentral. Lineage: Bacteria; Bacillati; Actinomycetota; Actinomycetes; Micrococcales; Sanguibacteraceae.
GAACCCGGAAGCUAAGCCCCUCUGCGCCGAUGGUACUGCACGGGAGACUGUGUGGGAGAGUAGGUCGCCGCCGGAC